This 406-nucleotide ribosomal RNA is filed under the name uncultured bacterium. Its description in RNAcentral is "partial 16S ribosomal RNA". It matches the Rfam family "Bacterial small subunit ribosomal RNA", at positions 29 to 526 of the family's 1533-position model. The record is from RNAcentral.
AUUGAACGCUGGCGGCAGGCUUAACACAUGCAAGUCGAGCGCGCGGCGGACGGGUGAGUAAUGUCUGGGAAACUGCGUGAAGGAGGGGGAUAAAUACUGGCAAAGGUAGCUAAUACCGCAUACCAGAAGAUGUGCCCAGAUGGGAUGAGCUAGUAGGUGGGGGAAUGGCUCACCUAGGCGACGAUCCCUAGCUGGUCUGAGAGGAUGACCAGCCACACUGGAACUGAGACACGGUCCAGACUCCUACGGUAGGCAGCAGUGGGGAAUAGUGCACAAUGGGCGCAAGCCUGAUGCAGCCAUGCCGCGUGUGUGAAGAAGGCCUUCGGGUUGUAAAGCACUUUCAGUGAGGAGGCGUUACUCGCAGAAGAAGCACCGGCUAACGCAGGGCCAGCAGCCGCGGUAAUAC